GCCCCAUCUGCUGCUCUGCUUUCUGCUCCUUGCCCUGUGCAUCUUGUCUGGCCUUCAGCUCUGCUUUCUGCUCCCUUUCCCUGUGCACCCUGCCCCAUCUGCUGCUCUGCUUUCUGCUUCCCUAUCCUGUGCAUCCGGUCUGGCCCAUGGCUCUGCUUUCUGCUCCCCACCCAAUCCACUGCUCUGCUUUCUGCUCCAUGCCCAGUCUGCUGCUCUGCUUUCUGCUUCCCUUCCCUGUGUGUCCUGUCUGACCCACUGCUCUGCUCUCUGCUUCCCUACCUCAUGCGUCCUGUCUGACCCACUGCUCUGCUUUCUGCUUCCCUUCCCUGCGCGCCCUGCCCGAUCUGCUGCUCUUAGCGUGGCUGACCGUCCAGGAUUGCCCUGGCGUCUCCAGGAACGAGAGAGAAAUCUCUUGGAGGCUGCUGAGAGUGCAAGUCUCUGAGUCUGCGUAAUUUCUAAAUAAGACAACGUUUGAAGAAGAAUUAAACCACAGCAAAACAAAAGCUGUUUGCACAUUCGAGAAGCAAGGAGUCAGAAAAGCAGCAGAGAAAAACCAAGUGAUACCUUUACAAGUGAUGCUUCUAUUAGGAACCAGGGGCUGAGAACGGAGGACCGUGUCUCAGCCCAGCAGAGGAGCUCACUGGCACCGUGCGGCCCAGCAGAGGAGCUCACUGGCACCGUGCGGCCCAGCAGAGGAGCUCACUGGCACCGUGCGGCCCAGCAGAGGAGCUCACUGGCACCUGCCACAAAGCACAGAUAGGGCCAAGCGAUGCAUGUAUCCUGUGGUUGGGAUGGAGCUCUUCUGAGAGUCUUGAAGUCUAGUGCUUCCUUGAAGAACAGCUGUUCAGAUGGUGUCCUGUACUGUGGGCCAGGGAGGACCACAUCAAGACUAUUACAAGUGAAAGUGAAGUCAGACUCUCAGCUGAGGUAAAGUGAACUCUGUGGAGCUACACUGAUAAGCAACAGCUGAGGAUCUGCGUCAACUUUUUAAACUGUCACCCCUGCAAACUGCGCCUUACCCAGCACAUGCAGCACCAAGCCAUAGCUGCUGCUCGAGCCUUGUAGAAAUGCACUAAAAGCAGCAGGUGAUGCUGCAUCCAUUACAUCUCUGGGCAAUCUGUUCCAGAGGCUUGUUGCCCUCAAUGCAAAAAAUACUGCACCUCAUUUCUAGUCCAAAUGUUCUAGCUACAGCUUCCAGCUAUUGGUCUCACUAGGUGUGUCUAUAUGGUGCAAGACAGUGUUAGGCCAGAACUAGAUCUACAUAUGCUAGCUUUGCAAAUAGAAGGCAUACAGAUGCAUCAGUAUAGUACUGCAUCCAGGGUAUUAGGUGACUACUUAGAUUAGGGACAGCACCUUGCUGAUAUGUCUAUACUGCUUCCAGUUCUGAAGCUAACGCAUGCUGGCAUGGCUUAGGUAUUUCUGCAUGGCACUGUCUUGCACUGUGUGGAUUGUAUACCAGCUAGAUGGUUUAAAGUGAACCUGGGGUAUCUGCACAGCACUGCAUUUUGCCCUGAAGUCAUACCCAUUACCUCUUUUUUCUAGAUUGAGGAGCUGCCUAUAGAGAUCUCUUUCCCAAGAUGAUAUUUAUAGACCCUAAUCAAAUCACCUCUUCUUUUGGACAAGAUAAAUCAGUUGAGCUUCAUAAAUCUCUGCCCUGUCUCUCUCAAACAGCCAAGUUGUACAAGGAAAGGGGGAGAGAAGCAGAUAUGUUUAGUUUGGAGAGAGGGGACAGUAACAGCAGCUUUUUAGGCUGCCAUGAAGAAGAGGGAGAACAGCUAACCGUUUUCCCUUGCUACAGAGGGCAAGACACGAGGCAAUGGGUUUAAACUGCAGCAAAGCAGAUUUGGAUAAAAUCUCAGGGAAAACAUCCUUACUGUAAGAUUAGUAGGACAGUGGAAUAAGCUGUCCAGGUAAACCAUGGAAUCUGCUUCCUUAGAGGUUUUCAAGAGGCUGGAUAAGCAUCUGGAAUGCAGGCAACCUGCCCUGGGAGUGAGCGUCAGGAGCUGAGGUCAGGAACUAGUUAGGAGUCAAAUUAAGGUGAGGAAAUGGAAAAAUGGGCUGAAGAGUUAUGGGUCAGCGACAGGGCCAGGAAUCCCAAGUCUAGGUCAGGACUGGGGAGGGGGCAAGGUAAAUGCAGAGACCACGGCAGAAGCUGAGGGCUGGGAGCACAGGAAUUAGGACUGGAGCUGGGAGGUAAGGGAAUGCAGGAAACAGGGCAGGAGCAGGAGGCAAAUUCACAACUGCAGUGAGCAGGGCAGAGCUGCCAGCUCUGCUGGCACUGAGUAGCUGAGGUCCUCCGGGAGGAUGGCCCUUAUACCCUGAGGUCUGGCUUCCUGGAGCCAAUCAGGUGUUCAGGCACAACUGGACCCAAACAGGUGGCUUGUGGCAGGCCUUGGGCUUGGUGUAAGCCGUGGGUAGGCAACGUUUUUGGCCGGAGUGCCGAAAAAAUCACAACGUCUACCUUGUAAGGUGCCAGCAUGUGAGGAAAACAAAACCAGGGUGAGGGGUAUAUGGCAGGA
Molecule: long non-coding RNA, 2519 nt
Organism: Alligator sinensis (Chinese alligator)
Lineage: Eukaryota; Metazoa; Chordata; Crocodylia; Alligatoridae
Exons: 5
Source: RefSeq, a predicted model, not a curated record